GACGAGCGCUGGCGGCGUGCUUAACACAUGCAAGUCGAACGGUAAGGCCCUUCGGGGUACACGAGUGGCGAACGGGUGAGUAACAAGUGGGUGAUCUGCCCUGCACUUCGGGAUAAGCCUGGGAAACUGGGUCUAAUACCGGAUAGGACCACUGCCUGCAUGGGUGGUGGGGGAACGCUUUUGGGGUGUGGGAGGGGCCCGCGGCCUAUCAGCUUGUUGGUGGGGUGAUGGCCUACCAAGGCGACGACGGGUAGCCGGCCUGAGAGGGUGACCGGCCACACUGGGACUGAGAUACGGCCCAGACUCCUACGGGAGGCAGCAGUGGGGAAUAUUGCACAAUGGGCGCAAGCCUGAUGCAGCGACGCCGCGUGAGGGAUGACGGCCUUCGGGUUGUAAACCUCUUUCAGCACCGACGAAGCGCAAGUGACGGUAGGUGCAGAAGAAGGACCGGCCAACUACGUGCCAGCCGCCGCCGUAA
RNAcentral lists this ribosomal RNA (478 nucleotides) under uncultured bacterium. RNAcentral's name for it is "partial 16S ribosomal RNA". It matches the Rfam family "Bacterial small subunit ribosomal RNA", at positions 28 to 523 of the family's 1533-position model. The record is from RNAcentral.